Molecule: microRNA, 22 nt
Filed under: Solanum tuberosum (potato)
Lineage: Eukaryota; Viridiplantae; Streptophyta; Magnoliopsida; Solanales; Solanaceae
Description: stu-miR6024-3p
Source: miRBase by way of RNAcentral
UUUUAGCAAGAGUUGUUUUCCC